RNAcentral lists this unclassified non-coding RNA (334 nucleotides) under soil metagenome. Its description in RNAcentral is "partial contains 5.8S ribosomal RNA, internal transcribed spacer 2, and large subunit ribosomal RNA". The stretch from base 1 to 120 matches the Rfam family "5.8S ribosomal RNA", at positions 35 to 154 of the family's 154-position model. The record is from RNAcentral.
GAUGAAGAACGGAGCGAAAUGCGAUAAGUAAUGUGAAUUGCAGAAUUCAGUGAAUCAUCGAAUCUUUGAACGCACAUUGCGCCCCCCAGUAUUCUGGCGGGCAUGCCUGUUCGAGCGUCAUUUCAACCAUCAAGCCCUGCUUGUGUUGGGGUCCUGCGGCUGCCCGCAGGCCCUGAAAACCAGUGGCGGGCUCGCUAGUCACACCGAGCGCAGUAGCACAUCUCGCUCAGGGCGUGCGGCGGGCUCCAGCCGUUAAAGCACCCACCUUUCGCAAGGUUGACCUCGGAUCAGGCAGGAAUACCCGCUGAACUUAAGCAUAUCAAUAAGCGGAGGA